Molecule: transfer RNA, 82 nt
Filed under: Cercophora newfieldiana
Lineage: Eukaryota; Fungi; Ascomycota; Sordariomycetes; Sordariales; Lasiosphaeriaceae
Also listed under: 2 other names
Rfam family: tRNA
About the family: Transfer RNA (tRNA) molecules are approximately 80 nucleotides in length. Their secondary structure includes four short double-helical elements and three loops (D, anti-codon, and T loops). Further hydrogen bonds mediate the characteristic L-shaped molecular structure. tRNAs have two regions of fundamental functional importance: the anti-codon, which is responsible for specific mRNA codon recognition, and the 3' end, to which the tRNAs corresponding amino acid is attached (by aminoacyl-tRNA synthetases). tRNAs cope with the degeneracy of the genetic code in two manners: having more than one tRNA (with a specific anti-codon) for a particular amino acid; and 'wobble' base-pairing, i.e. permitting non-standard base-pairing at the 3rd anti-codon position.
Source: Rfam by way of RNAcentral
GGCGUGGUGGCAGAGUGGUCUAAUGCGCUAGACUCGAAAUCUAGUCCCUUCGGGGGCGCAUGUUCGAAUCAUGCCCACGUCG